UUUUUUUUGUUUUUGUCUUUUUAGGGCUACACCUGUGGCAUAUGGAGGUUCUCGGGCUAGGGGUCGAUUCAGAGCUGUAGCCAGCCAGCCUAUGCUACAGCUACAACAAUGCGGGAGCCGGGAGGUCCCGUGGUGGCACAGUGGUUAACAAAUCCAACUAGGAACCAUGAGGUUGUGGGUUCGAUUCCUGGCCUUGCUCAGUGGGUUAAGGAUCUGGUGUUGCCAUGAGCUGUGCAAUGCUGAACCCUUAACCCACUGAGCGAGGCCAGGGAUCAAACCUGCGUCCUCAUGGCUGCUAGUCAGAUUUGUUUCUGCUGAGCCACGAUGGGAACUCCAUCACUGCAUUUAUAUGUCAGUUUCUGGAAGCCUCUGCCAGGACUCAGAAUUCUCAUGUGCACAUCGGAAAGCUGAACGAUCCAAACUCUUGGUCUCUCCCAGUCCUCUGAGCACGUGCGCAGCCUUCUUUACCACAAAGCUCCAAGCAUUUACUAUACAACAAACUACCCAAAAACUUGGUGGCUUAAAACCACCCCCAUUUUAUUAUCUUACAAUUGUGUGGACUAGAAAUUCAGAGAGGGCUCAGCCAUCCCAUUUUUCUGCUUCACCUGGUAUCAAUUCACUUGGUAUCAAGGAAGGAAGACCCAAGACGGGCGCACUCACAUGUCUCGUGCCCACGAUGGCUGGAAAGCUGAGCCCAGCUGGGACUGUCCUCUGGAGCACAUGUUGGUGGCCUUUCAAGACAUCAAGGGGAAUCAAGGGAAUGAAUUUUUUUUUUUUUUUGUCUUUUGUCUUUUGUCUUUUGUCUUUUUAGGGCUGUACUAGGCUAGGGGUUGAAUCAGAGCUGUAGCUGCUGGCCUACACCACAGCCACAGCAAUGCAGGAUCCGAGCCGCAUCUGCAACCUACACCACAGCUCACGGCAGAUCCUUAACCACUGAGCGAGGCCAGGGAUGGAACCCGAAACCUCAUGCUUGCUAGUCGGGUUCGUUAACAAUUGAGCCUCAGAGGGAACUCCAAGGGAGUGAAUUCUUUCGUGGCAGCUCCCAUGAGCCUCCUAGAGCUCAGAGCUCCCAGGACAGCACUCGAAGGAGCCCAGCAGGGAGUUUCUGGUCUAACCACAGAAGUCACAGAAUAUCACUUCCACUGCAUCCUGCAGGCCAAGAAAACCACCAAGGUGAGGUCAGAUUCAAGUAGAGGGAAACUGGGCCCUACCCCUCAAUGGAAGAAGUAGCAAAGGAAUUGUGGCCAUUAUUGACCCAUUACGAAUGUGGUUCACAGAAGAAGGAAAAUAGGGAAUUCCAAUCACUAACCCUAUGGUCAGAGAAAAAAAACCUAGACUCAGUAUUAAAAUGUUAGGAAAGGUACCUUUUGUGUUUUAAACUAAAAUGUUUAAGAUAUGUAGGUCCUAUUUUUAUAUUGAUUCACCAACCUUUUUUUUAACUAGUUAUAUAGGAUAAGAUCUUAUCUCUCUAUUGUAAGUUUUUAAAAAUUCAAGAACUUAGAUCCAUGACAAUCUCUUAUUUGUAUUUAAGGAUUCAAAGCACAAAGCACAGGGUGUACUUGCUAAUUCAGGUCAAAAAAAAAAAAAAAAAAAAGGUGCCCACUCUUUUUUUGCCCCAGAGCUGCCUGCUCCAGCCUUGGUGGUUUGUAUGGCAAGGCUCCAUUUCCUAGAACUAAGCUGCCUUUGCUGCCAGCCGUCUGCACCGCCUCUUUCCAGUUCAUCUUGGCUGAAGCUGCCAUUUUCCAGAGCAAACCUCAGCCCCAUUCCUUUCAAAACACAGAGACUGUCUCUGACAGCUUCUAACUUAAGCUGGGUGAUGCUCCCACUCCAGAAUUCCAAGAAAAAUUAAUGCUUUCCUAACUCAGGUUUUGAAAUACCCACCACCUACCAACCCCUACAGCUCGGGCCCCUGAGAGUUUCACUAGAGCUCCAACCCCAGGGGCCCUCACACCCCCAGCACCCCUAGACGCUCUCAGUGGCCCAUCAGAAGCUGCACACCUGAGUCCUCUCAUCCUUUGUUGCCCUGGGAACCAUCUCUGGGCUUCCUCUCCCCUUCCCCCACCCCAAAGGUGCCUUCUCCACCUGUCUCUGGCAAAAUAGUUCUCGAACUUUCUACUUCCCCAUUCAGCCCUUUCCAGUUAACCUCACCCAAGGCUGUCCUCGCCUCGUGUCGAAUCCUAGCACUCCUCUGCCAGGGCUCCAGGCCGCCUCUGUCCCUGUAGCACGUGCAGUGCUCGAAGACCACGUCUAGCCUGUCGCACGUUUCCCUUUUCCCCCAAAAUGUGAACUUUGGUCACUCUCAUGGCAGGUGAAAGGGAUCAAAUGAGGCCAGGGAAUUGAACCUUAGCCACAGCAGUGACAACACUGAAUUUUUAACUACUAGGCCACCAGGGAACUCCCAAAAUGCAAACAUCUUGAGAGCAGAGACCAUGGUUUGUGUAUGGUGUGUGUGAGAGAGAGAGAGAGGGAGACGGGGGUGGGGGGGAGAUUUUAAAAUUAUUAUUCAGUAUAGAGAAUAGACUUGGGCUUCCUAAUACAUGCUCUAAAGAUGCAUAUUGAAAUUAAAUGUCAAAAAAAUGUACAUAAAUUGUGCCAGGCACUGGACUAAGCACUUUACAUUAUUUAAUUCAUACAUUUAAUCCUCAUCCUCUACCACUAUUACUUCCUCUAGGGUCUAAUUUUAACAAAAUUCCACCAAAAGGAAGAAUUGGGACAUCCCACAUAACUCAUUUGGACUGGGAUGUGGCACCCGGAACAAGCGCCCCUCCAAACGCCCGAAGACGGCGUGCGCGUUGUCAGGUGCGAUCAGCGACUUCCUGGCAGGUGUGCUCAGGUGUGUUAGGAGGGACACAGCUCUGACGGCGGGCAGAGAAUGAGACCGAUAAGCCUGUGCUCUGGGAUCCAGGCGCUCACAAGCAAGGGGCAAGAGGAGGUUUCCUGUUCUGGAUGAGAGGAGUCGUGUAGGAGGUAUGAGGAAUGAAGCCGUGGAAGUGAUGGGUGGACCUCAAACCCCACACCCCCAAAAAGGUCUGCCUUUAAUUGUUUUAUUAGAGAGUUCACCAAAAUUGGAACCAGGAAGAAAAAGAACAAGCCACAGAAAUUUGUUCUUGGCUCCAGUCAGACAGCUGAGCCCCAAACUGCGAUUCUAAAGUCUGUUUGCUAUUGAACAGGCGAAUCGAGGACCAAAAGGCACUGGCACAUCUAGUGGGCUCACAGGAGCCAUGGCCAAGUUGAGGGUUAGGGACAUGUGCCAGCAGCACGCUCGGGUACACUCUGUCCCUGCCCGAGUCUACUGCAGUAAUUAGCUUUGCUCAUUAGUUUCAAGUAAAUAAUCUCCUUGUCACAGCUGGGAUCCUUUAUCAGAACAGUGGACAUCAGGGUUUGCAAAAGCAAAGGAUUCCCCCCCCCACCCCCAGAAUUCCCUGGAACACUAAGUCAUGACCCAGAGAUUUGAAUGAAGGAAGGAAAUGUCCAAAGAGGUCUAAAAUUCCAAGGAAUAGCUCUGUCUAGAGAGUGGAAGCAUUGGGUAUGAAAAACAAAUGAAAAACAACAACAAAACCUUUGAAAUGGAUAUUGAUCUGUUCUUCAACUCAGUUUAAGUUCAGAUCAACAAAGACACGUAACUAUCUGCUAUAUAGCAGGAAAUGCAGCCCAGACCUCAGAGAUCCUGGGAGGAAACGGGUAAUAAAUGCACAAAUAGCAUUAACAUGCUAGUAAUGCACUCUGAUGGCAGAAUGUGCGGAGGGAGGGUGCCCAAGCCUGCCUGGGUCUUCAGGGAGGAUUUCCCGGAGGUGUGACUGGCACUGAUUUAAGACGAGAAGGAGCAGCGAGGAGCACUUGUGAAAGACUUGCAGAGGAGGGAGGCCUGGGCAUGAUUCUGAGCCUUUUAAAACAAUGGGCAAAAUACAUACGCUCAACCUUUUAUCCCUUGGUAUCCCAUCAUUAUGCCCAUUUCGAGGAAGGAGAAAAUGAAGAGAGAUUUCAACGCUGCCCGUGGAUUGCCUGUGGGGUUGGGGUUGAGGGAGGACAAUGCUGGGAUAGUGAGGCAGGACCCUACC
Molecule: long non-coding RNA, 4058 nt
Filed under: Sus scrofa (pig)
Lineage: Eukaryota; Metazoa; Chordata; Mammalia; Artiodactyla; Suidae
Description: lncRNA (ENSSSCG00040074405.1)
Source: RNAcentral